RNAcentral lists this ribosomal RNA (440 nucleotides) under uncultured bacterium. RNAcentral's name for it is "bacterial SSU rRNA". It matches the Rfam family "Bacterial small subunit ribosomal RNA", at positions 340 to 774 of the family's 1533-position model. The record is from RNAcentral.
UACGGAAGGCAGCAGUGGGGAAUAUUGCACAAUGGGCGCAAGCCUGAUGCAGCCAUGCCGCGUGUAUGAAGAAGGCCUUCGGGUUGUAAAGUACUUUCAGUCGUGAGGAAGGUGUUAAGGUUAAUAACCUUAGCAAUUGACGUUAGCGACAGAAGAAGCACCGGCUAACUCCGUGCCAGCAGCCGCGGUAAUACGGAGGGUGCGAGCGUUAAUCGGAAUUACUGGGCGUAAAGGGCACGCAGGCGGUUAAUUAAGUUGGAUGUGAAAUCCCCGGGCUUAACCUGGGAAUGGCAUUCAAGACUGGUUAGCUAGAGUCUUGUAGAGGGGGUAGAAUUCCAUGUGUAGCGGUGAAAUGCGUAGAGAUGUGGAGGAAUACCGGUGGCGAAGGCGGCCCCUGGACAAAGACUGACGCUCAUGUGCGAAAGCGUGGGGAGCAAACG